Trachemys scripta elegans is the source of this 757-nucleotide long non-coding RNA. RefSeq lists it as uncharacterized. The transcript has 5 exons. NCBI's taxonomy places the organism in Eukaryota, Metazoa, Chordata, Testudines, Emydidae. The record is from RefSeq and is a predicted model, not a curated record.
GUAAAGGAAGUGGAUUUCAACGGUACUUAACUGACCCAUGUCUCACUCAGGUAGCUCAGGAGGUGCUGAUGCAGAUGACUACUUCAAUAGAAGAUAGAAGCUCAAAAGAUGGGGACCUAUGGUUUCGGAACCUGACAACUCUCACGUCUUGUACAGCCUUGUAAUCUGCUACCCUGUCUAUCAAAACAAUCUGCUUCCGCAUGGAGCUCAAACAUAUGACGCAGAGUGCUGCCCUGGAGAAGGCCAGGCGGCUGAAUUGCUGGCAGAAACAUGCCCCUGAAACACAAAUCAAAUCCUUCAUUAAGAUCACCCAGAUUAUGAAGAACCAAAGCGGUAAGCCUCCUCCUGAUUUUCUCCACUGCGCCAGUUCAAGGCAGUCCUCUCUUGGAUGCUGGCCUUGUUCUUGAGCACCUUUUGCUGGCUGAUUCACUAAGCUUCAUUGAUGGCAGGGAAUGGCUUCCUCAAGUUAAGAUGUCAAAGCAGUGGCCCGCUAGGGGGGCAGCCUGAAGUGAAGAGGUAACAUAAUGAGAUGUGAAAAAAAUUCUUAAGGAUGAUGCAAAGAUGAGACACAUUCUGCCCUAGAGUGUGUACGUUCACCUCCUGCAUAAGUUGCUGGGAGACAUGUGCUUGCAACUACAAUUGACAAAAAAACCUGUGAAAGUGGCCGUGUAUUUUGUGGAUGGCCUAAAAGCAUUAGAGGCACUUACAGGUAAGCCAACUAGCAUCAUCAGUUUGUUCCCCUACAACCCAAAAAUAU